UUUCAACAAUAAAUUGUUUGAAUUUUUUUUAAUGUUUUUAAAAGCUUAAAAUUAUAUGAUACUUUAUAAUUGAUCUAUUUAUUUUUAAUAGAAAUACAGGUCACAGAUACGGGUAUGAGUACUUACAUAUCCAUACGGUACAAAUAUGGAUGCUAACUUUGGCACCCAAUCGGGUAUGGGCUCGGGCACGAGAAUUUUUUAAAAUCGC
This 208-nucleotide long non-coding RNA is filed under the name Lathyrus oleraceus (garden pea). RNAcentral's name for it is "Pisum sativum (pea) long non-coding RNA (PSAT_LNC003718)". Lineage: Eukaryota; Viridiplantae; Streptophyta; Magnoliopsida; Fabales; Fabaceae. The record is from RNAcentral.